This 507-nucleotide ribosomal RNA is filed under the name uncultured bacterium. RNAcentral's name for it is "bacterial SSU rRNA". It matches the Rfam family "Bacterial small subunit ribosomal RNA", at positions 28 to 487 of the family's 1533-position model. The record is from RNAcentral.
GAUGAACGCUGGCGGCGUGCCUAAUACAUGCAAGUCGAACGCAUUGUGGUUGAAAUGAUAUGAAGAACUUGUUCAGAUUUGAUUUUCAACAUUGCAAUGAGUGGCGAACGGGUGAGUAACACGUGGGAAACCUACCUCUUAGCAGGGGAUAACAUUUGGAAACAAAUGCUAAUACCGUAUAAUAAUUAAAACCGCAAUGGUUUUAGUUUAAAAGAUGGUCUUGCUAUCACUAAGAGAUGGUCCCGCGGUGUAUUAGUUAGUUGGUGAGGUAAUGGCUCACCAAGACAAUGAUACAUAGCCGAGUUGAGAGACUGACCGGCACAAUGGGACUGAGACACGGCCCAUACUCCUACGGGAGGCAGCAGUAGGGGAAUCUUCCACAAUGGACGAAAGUACUGAUGGAGCAACGCCGCGUGAGUGAAGAAGGUUUCGGAUCGUAAAACUCUGUUGUUGGUAGAAGAAUGUAUCUGAUAGUAACUGAUCAGGUAGUGACGGUAUCCAACCAAG